AUUUAUUGAUCCUCCACUCUAAGCUUUCAAUUUUUUUAAAUUUUCAUCAAAAACAACAAAAUACGUUCCUGAGAUAAUAUUUAUCUCAAGUUGGAUAAAAACUUUGCAAAGAAUUGAAAACUAGAAUUACCCGACGGAAUUUUUAUCACGAGUCGGAUAAAAAUUAUCCGUCGGAUAAUUGUACUUUUUAAUUGCAGCGCUUUUAUCCAACUUCGGAUAAUUAAUAUCUCGGCAAUUUACUGUGAGGAUACGUUUUUAAUAGAAACAACUAUUGUUAUUUAAUUUUUUUAAAUUUCUCUUCCUAUUUAAUCAAUUUAAUCGGAAUUCAAGCUGAAAGCUACACAAAGGAAAAAAUUGCGAUUCCGUCGGCACUUGAGUAGGAUUGAUCACUUUUUAGGAGAAGCAAGUAUAUCGGCAAGUUCAAAAUAAAAAUACUUGCUAUUUAGUACCUUGACGGCCGAGGCGGCGCACAAAAUUGAGACGACAACGAGUAGGUACUUCAUGGUUUGGAUGCAGUUUCGGAAUGAUCCCAACAUUUGGCACUACCUCACUGCUAGGCACAGGAGGCGCAGUGAUACACUGCCGUAGUGCCGUUGAGAGAAGUAACUCAGUCGUUUGUCAGCACGGAAAAAGCCACGUUACAGACAAAAUCCAUGAAAAAGUGCCUACACAAUAUAAUAUAUUUAGGAAGCAUAUUUAUCACUUAAAAACACAAAUAAAAGAUUGUAUGAGUUUAUAACGAGAUAUUUAAAUAAAAAGAGAGCAGAAAA
Belonocnema kinseyi is the source of this 770-nucleotide long non-coding RNA. RefSeq lists it as uncharacterized. NCBI's taxonomy places the organism in Eukaryota, Metazoa, Arthropoda, Insecta, Hymenoptera, Cynipidae. The transcript is spliced from 2 exons. The record is from RefSeq and is a predicted model, not a curated record.